UAAAUUUUAAGUUAUAUAAACUUAGAGCCUUCAAAGCUUUCAAAAAGAAUUAUUCUUAAAUUUAA
RNAcentral lists this transfer RNA (65 nucleotides) under Metacrangonyx goulmimensis. RNAcentral describes it as "transfer RNA Tryptophan". The record is from RNAcentral. Lineage: Eukaryota; Metazoa; Arthropoda; Malacostraca; Amphipoda; Metacrangonyctidae.